CAAUAGCGUAUAUUAAAGUUGUUGCGGUAAAAAAGCUCGUAGUUGGAUUUCUGUUGAGAGCGACCGGUCCAUACCAUGUAUGCGUAUCUGGCUUGCUCUCGGCAUCCUCUCGAUAGACGUUACUGCGCUUGAUUGCGUGGUGCGGAUCUCGGGACUUUUACUUUGAGGAAAUUAGAGUGUUCACGGCAGGCUUUCGCCAGAAUACAUCAGCAUGGAAUAAUACUAUAGGAUCUUGGUUCUAUUUUGUUGGUUUCUAGAAUUGAGAUAAUGAUUAAUAGGGACAAUUGGGGGCAUUCGUAUCAACACGUCAGAGGUGGAAUUCUUGGAUUGUGUUGCGACGAACUACUGCGAAAGCAUUUGCCAAGGAUGUUUUCAUUGA
RNAcentral lists this ribosomal RNA (379 nucleotides) under uncultured eukaryote. RNAcentral describes it as "partial 18S ribosomal RNA". It matches the Rfam family "Eukaryotic small subunit ribosomal RNA", at positions 592 to 976 of the family's 1831-position model. The record is from RNAcentral.